CAGCGCUCUGGAGGAAGAUGAGCGCCUAGAACGAGGCCUAGAGCAGCGGCGUCGAAAGGUGAGCCGGCAGCUGAGCAGGCGGGAACGCUGCACCCUGAGCUGAGCCUCCUGUCCAGUUAGUCGUGGACCCUCCUCGUCACUCCCCCGCCUGUACAGCGGAGGACAGGCCCCCCCAUGCUCCUCCAGCGGGCGGAAGCAAGACCGAUCAGAUUCUCGGACUGGAGCAGUGAGCCUACCAGGCAGUAUUUAUUUAUCCGAGUGUAUGUGAGUGUGUGGCGGUGGCCAGGAUCCCCCAAGCAAGGGAUGGUGUGGGAACGACACCCACGUCCUCCUUCCCUUCUGAAGGGAGCAAUAAAGUUGAACUACAACAAA
Molecule: long non-coding RNA, 372 nt
Filed under: Rattus norvegicus (Norway rat)
Lineage: Eukaryota; Metazoa; Chordata; Mammalia; Rodentia; Muridae
Description: long non-coding RNA NONRATT003462
Source: RNAcentral